Peromyscus eremicus (cactus mouse) is the source of this 73-nucleotide non-coding RNA. Lineage: Eukaryota; Metazoa; Chordata; Mammalia; Rodentia; Cricetidae. The record is from the annotation of a RefSeq genome assembly.
UGAGGAUAUAGCUCAAUGGUAGAGCACUUGCCUAGCAUGCAUGAGGCCCUGAGUUCAAAUCCCAGUACCUCAA